GGUGGCUCAGUGGUAGAGUGCUUGUCUUGCAUGCAUGAGGCCUUGGGUUUGAUUCCUCAGCACCA
Molecule: non-coding RNA, 65 nt
Organism: Dipodomys ordii (Ord's kangaroo rat)
Lineage: Eukaryota; Metazoa; Chordata; Mammalia; Rodentia; Heteromyidae
Source: Rfam